CGGGGUAACAGCCCACCAAGCNUAAGACGGGUAGCUGGUCUGAGAGGACGACCAGCCACACUGGAACUGAGACACGGUCCAGACACCUACGGGUGGCAGCAGUCGAGAAUUUUUCACAAUGGGCGCAAGCCUGAUGGAGCGACGCCGCGUGGGGGAUGAAUGGCUUCGGCCCGUAAACCCCUGUCAUUCGGGAUCAAUGCGUUUGGGUGAACAUCUCAAGCGUUGAUAGUACCGGAAGAGGAAGGGACGGCUAACUCUGUGCCAGCAGCCGCGGUAAUACAGAGGUCCCAAGCGUUGUUCGGAUUUACUGGGCGUAAAGGGUGCGUAGGCGGUCGGAUAAGUCUAGUGUGAAAUUUCGGAGCUCAACUCCGAAACUGCAUUGGAUACUAUUCGGCUAGAGGUUGGGAUGGGAGACUGGAAUUCUCGGUGUAGCAGUGAAAUGCGUAGAUAUCGAGAGGAACACCAGUGGCGAAGGCGAGUCUCUGGACCAAUCCUGACGCUGAGGCACGAAAGCCAGGGGAGCAAACGGGAUUAGAUACCCCGGUAGUCCUGGCCCUAAACGGUGCAUGUUUGCUGUAAGAGGAAUCGACCCCUUUUGUGGCGGAGCUAACGCGUUAAACAUGCCGCCUGGGGAGUACGGUCGCAAGAUUAAAACUCAAAGGAAUUGACGG
This 671-nucleotide ribosomal RNA is filed under the name uncultured Verrucomicrobiota bacterium. Its description in RNAcentral is "bacterial SSU rRNA". It matches the Rfam family "Bacterial small subunit ribosomal RNA", at positions 253 to 916 of the family's 1533-position model. The record is from RNAcentral. Lineage: Bacteria; Pseudomonadati; Verrucomicrobiota.